Molecule: ribosomal RNA, 253 nt
Filed under: uncultured bacterium
Lineage: Bacteria
Description: partial 16S ribosomal RNA
Rfam family: Bacterial small subunit ribosomal RNA
Source: RNAcentral
UACAGAGGUGGCAAGCGUUGUUCGGAAUUACUGGGCGUAAAGGGCGCGUAGGCGGCCUUCUAAGUCAGACGUGAAAUCCCCCGGCUUAACCGGGGAACUGCGUCUGAUACUGGCGGGCUUGAAUUCGGGAGAGGGAUGUGGAAUUCCAGGUGUAGCGGUGAAAUGCGUAGAUAUCUGGAGGAACACCGGUGGCGAAGGCGGCAUCCUGGACCGACAUUGACGCUGAGGCGCGAAAGCCAGGGGAGCAAACGGG